Myotis myotis is the source of this 528-nucleotide long non-coding RNA. RefSeq lists it as uncharacterized. Lineage: Eukaryota; Metazoa; Chordata; Mammalia; Chiroptera; Vespertilionidae. The record is from RefSeq and is a predicted model, not a curated record. The transcript has 3 exons.
AGCCCCUUAUUUUCCUGCUGGAAUCAAUAUCCCAUCAACUUCACCAACUGUCUACUCCCUGAUCUAUGAGAUGGUGCUAGCACAGGAAAACCAGUGAGUGCUGUCAGGAAAAUACGGCCAGGAUUUACUGCUGCUUCAGGAGGCCCAGCAUUAAGCCAGAGGGACGCCCAGCACCCCAAACCUACUCCUAGCUGCUGCCUCUGAAACUCGAACCUGUAAUUUGACCACACGGCCAGCCUUCUGUAACCAGUAAUCAGCAUCUGUAGGCCCCUGGCACUGGGACAAGGGACUCUGCAGGGGGGUGCAGGACGCCAGGAUGGAGAGUGGAACAGCCACACCAACACCAGGCCUCAGAACCAAACUGAGCCACGUCCUUGCUGAUGUGCUUUGCUUUUUUUCAAGGUGACUCUGAGGAAAGUCAGGCUGUCACAAAUAGCACCUGUUACCAAUCUAACAGAGGGUCCAUCGUGGAGGCCUGGGGGGAGCCAGGGUGCGUUUGAGAUAGUAUCUGUCCACUUCCUCUGUCAU